Long non-coding RNA from Syngnathus typhle (broad-nosed pipefish), 895 nucleotides. RefSeq lists it as uncharacterized. The transcript is spliced from 2 exons. NCBI's taxonomy places the organism in Eukaryota, Metazoa, Chordata, Actinopteri, Syngnathiformes, Syngnathidae. The record is from RefSeq and is a predicted model, not a curated record.
AGGCACGCGCUCCUCGAAACCAAGGAAGGGCGUGAUUCAAUCAUGGCUAGUUACCUAUUCACUGGACAGAAAAUAAACAACCCCAACUUGCAUAUGCAAAAAGAAAUAUAUAUAUUUUACUCAGAGCCAGGGCGUAAAAAAAAAAAUAUAUAUAUAUUUUUUCUUUUUGACUAAAGUAAAGCCACAUGAUGAUGCAGUGCAGCAGGAAGUCGUCGAGUUCAUCGCCAUUAUUAUUCCAAGAGCUCCAUGCCCUAUGAGAGUUCCUCCGAUUAUUAAACAGAAGCUCAACGUCCGGACCGGACUGGAAAUACUGAGUGGCGCCUUGGACUUUCGAGCUGAUGACUCCGAGCAGCUAAUUCGUGCUUGUGGUCAAAUACUCCCUGCUCAAAGUAACCCACCUGUGGAUGUCAAAUUUCAAAUCAUCUCUAUAUUUUCUUUUCCAUGUCACGGCCAGGUGUCCCAACAUUUCUUAUUAACCUAUAGCUUUAUUGACACACAACAUUCCAAUGGUGUAACUGUAAAGCUUUUCAUGAAACCGUUUCUCAGGGUUUGAAUGACCUGUCAAUCAUCGGCAUGGCCUCAAGUGUUUACUUGUUAAGUUACCAGGUAAGGAAAUCACUAUGCACUUGUGUUGCAACACGUGCUCCCAUGGAAAGGUGUGGGAGGCGUGUGUUGGUAUAACAUCACGUCACGUAGCAACAAUCCUUUUUGAUGAUCCAGAUUAUUCUAUCGAACAGGAUUAAGCACGUCAUGGCGAAACGUCAUCACCGUAAUUCGUUAAAUUUGGAACGCCUCACCUCAAAACUGUGAAGCUGUGAUUUUACAAAGUCUAUUGUCGUUUUAAAUAUUUUAAAUGAUGCCAAUCUUUUGGGAUUAAAGUGAACUUCUUUGAAAA